This 456-nucleotide ribosomal RNA is filed under the name uncultured bacterium. RNAcentral's name for it is "bacterial SSU rRNA". It matches the Rfam family "Bacterial small subunit ribosomal RNA", at positions 335 to 784 of the family's 1533-position model. The record is from RNAcentral.
ACUCCUACGGGAGGCAGCAGUGGGGAAUAUUGGGCAAUGGGCGCAAGCCUGACCCAGCAAUACCGCGUGUGUGAAAAGGCCUGAGGGUUGUAAAGCACUUUCAGUGGGGAGGAAAGGUUAAUGGUUAAUACCCAUUAGCUGUGAGUUACCCACAGAAGAAGCACCGGCUAACUCCGUGCCAGCAGCCGCGGUAAUACGGAGGGUGCAAGCGUUAAUCGGAAUUACUGGGCGUAAAGCGCGCGUAGGCGGUUGUAUAAGUCAGUCGUGAAAGCCCUGGGGCUUAACCUGGGAACUGCGAUUGAAACUGUAUAACUAGAGUAUGGUAGAGGUGAGUGGAAUUUCCGGUGUAGCGGUGAAAUGCGUAGAUAUCGGAAGGAACACCAGUGGCGAAGGCGACUCACUGGACCAAUACUGACGCUUAGGUGCGAAAGCGUGGGUAGCGAACAGGAUUAGAUA